GACGAACGCUGGCGGCGCGCUUAACACAUGCAAGUCGAGCGAUGAAAUUUCGACAGAUCCCUUCGGGGUGAAGAUGAAAUGGAUUAGCGGCGGACGGGUGAGUAACACGUGAGUAACCUGCCUUAGACAUUGGGAUAGCCUCGGGAAACCGGGAUUAAUACCAAAUGAAAUCACAUAUGCACAUGCAUAAAUGAUCAAAGCUCCGGCGGUCUAAGAUGGACUCGCGUCCCAUUAGCUAGUUGGUGAGGUAACGGCCCACCAAGGCGACGAUGGGUAGCCGGCCUGAGAGGGUGAACGGCCACAUUGGAACCGAGAAACGGUCCAAACUCCUACGGGAGGCAGCAGUGGGGAAUAUUGCACAAUGGAGGGAACUCUGAUGCAGCGACGCCGCGUGAACGAAGAAGGCUUUCGAGUCGUAAAGUUCUUUUAUAUGGGAAGAUAAUGACGGUACCAUAAGAAAAAGCCCCGGCUAACUACGUGCCAGCAGCCGCGGUAAUACGUAGGGGGCUAGCGUUGUCCGGAAUCACUGGGCGUAAAGGGUUCGCAGGCGGAAAUGCAAGUCAGGUGUAAAAGGCAGUAGCUUAACUACUGUAAGCAUUUGAAACUGCAUAUCUUGAGAAGAGUAGAGGUAAGUGGAAUUUUUAGUGUAGCGGUGAAAUGCGUAGAUAUUAAAAAGAAUACCGGUGGCGAAGGCGACUUACUGGGCUCAUUCUGACGCUGAGGAACGAAAGCGUGGGUAGCAAACAGG
RNAcentral lists this ribosomal RNA (748 nucleotides) under uncultured Peptoniphilus sp. RNAcentral describes it as "bacterial SSU rRNA". It matches the Rfam family "Bacterial small subunit ribosomal RNA", at positions 28 to 776 of the family's 1533-position model. Lineage: Bacteria; Bacillati; Bacillota; Tissierellia; Tissierellales; Peptoniphilaceae. The record is from RNAcentral.